GAAUCGCAUGGCCUUGUGCUGGCGAUAGGUCAUUCAAAUUUCUGCCCUAUCAGCUUUCGAUUGUAGUGUAGUGGACUACAAUGGCUUUAACGGGUAACGGGGAAUUAGGGUUCGAUUCCGGAGAGGGAGCCUGAGAAACGGCUACCACUUCUAAGGAAGGCAGCAGGCGCGUAAAUUACCCAAUCCUGACACAGGGGGGUAGUGACAAUAAAUAACAAUACCGGUCCUUUUUCUGGUCUGGUAAUUGGAAUGAGCACAA
This 259-nucleotide ribosomal RNA is filed under the name uncultured eukaryote. RNAcentral describes it as "partial 18S small subunit ribosomal RNA". It matches the Rfam family "Eukaryotic small subunit ribosomal RNA", at positions 266 to 523 of the family's 1831-position model. The record is from RNAcentral.